This 301-nucleotide unclassified non-coding RNA is filed under the name uncultured Periconia. RNAcentral describes it as "partial contains 5.8S ribosomal RNA, internal transcribed spacer 2, and large subunit ribosomal RNA". The stretch from base 1 to 102 matches the Rfam family "5.8S ribosomal RNA", at positions 53 to 154 of the family's 154-position model. The record is from RNAcentral. Lineage: Eukaryota; Fungi; Ascomycota; Sordariomycetes; Microascales; Halosphaeriaceae.
AUGCGAUAAGUAGUGUGAAUUGCAGAAUUCAGUGAAUCAUCGAAUCUUUGAACGCACAUUGCGGCCAUAGGUAUUCCUUUGGCCAUGCCUGUUCGAGCGUCAUUUACACCCUCAAGCCUAGCUUGGUGUUGGGCGUCUGUCCCGCUUCGCGCGCGGACUCGCCUCAAAGUCAUUGGCGGCGGUCGUGCCGGCCCCUGAGCGCAGCACAUUUGCGCUUCUCGGAGGCCCGGCGGACCCGCGCUCCAGCAAGACCUUUCUACGACUUGACCUCGGAUCAGGUAGGGAUACCCGCUGAACUUAA